AGUUCUUCUACUGCUAAGUAGCAAUCAACAUGUCUCAGAUAUUUGGCUAAGUUCCAAGAUGUGGUUUCACAUCCAGUGUUUGCAGGCUGCUGCUCCCUCCUUUGAGACUGCUAACUCCGAUUCCUAGAAGAGCAGAGAAAACCAGAAAAUGAGUAUCUAUCCAAUCUGGAGC
Long non-coding RNA from Myotis brandtii (Brandt's bat), 172 nucleotides. RefSeq lists it as uncharacterized. The record is from RefSeq and is a predicted model, not a curated record. NCBI's taxonomy places the organism in Eukaryota, Metazoa, Chordata, Mammalia, Chiroptera, Vespertilionidae. The transcript is spliced from 3 exons.